Long non-coding RNA from Oreochromis aureus, 1946 nucleotides. Lineage: Eukaryota; Metazoa; Chordata; Actinopteri; Cichliformes; Cichlidae. The record is from Ensembl.
GGGAGCCUUUCAAACACACCACCUCAUUGUGUUUUCAUUCUUUACCAGCACAGCACAUCAGAUCGUCCUCCAUUCACAAAGCAGUGAUGGCAGAAGCAGCUACCAGAACAAGAGGGCGAACUUGCUUCAGAUUCAUCAAGUGCUUGUUUGUCUUUAUAAUUCUGUUCAUCUUAUCUCUUCUGUGCCUUAUUUUCAUGGCAAUCUGGGCCAAGGACCAAGUGAUUCAGCAAAUACUGAAAAGAGUAAGCGAAGACAUUGACAAACACAAGGAAGAUGGCGUGUAUAGAAGAGCUGCAAUCACAAAAAUAUUUGAUCUCGCAAGUUCACUGGAUAGCAACGAAAAACUGGAAAUAUUCAAGGAAACCCUUCAAACAGCGAUAGAAGAGGAAGAGAGACUGAAGGAAGAAUCCAGAUACAAAGUGAAAACCUUCUCAAAACAAUACAAUGAAAAAAUGAAGGAACUUAUGCCUCAAUUGAAACAAGCAAUGAUAUCAUCAUAUAAUUUUCCACCACUGCAGAAAAUAGUUGACAUUACAUUUCACAUGUUAAAAAAAACCGGAGCUUACAUAGACAAGAAGCUGGAUUUGCUGCAAGAAUAGAGAACUCAGAAAAUAUAAAUGACAGAAGUAAAUGAUGAGCUUCAGAAAAUUGUAAGAAAAACAAUAAAUUGAACUUGUGUUUCUGUUUUCGUUUGUUGACCUAUGUAACGUAUAUCAUGUAUUUGUGAAAGGACAUAGUCUGAAUUGUUUUUGUGACUUUCUCUAAUUGUAUACUUCUUAGUUGCAUAACAUCUUGUCCUAAAGUAUGUCUGUGAAGGUUCUCAGUCAUCCAGGUCAUCGUAGUCAAAGGAGUUUGCAAAGAAAAGUGUCUGGACUUCUUUAAGUUGCUUGAAGACGUUUCACCUCUCAUCCGAGAAGCUUCUUCAGUUCUAAGGUCAAAUGGCCGAGAGUCCCAGAUUUAAACUCAGUGGGAGUAUCCCCCCAAGGAGGGACAAAGGACCCCCUGGUGAUCCUCUAAUCACAUGCGCCAAGGUGUGAAAGCGGGUGUGGGACCUAAUCAGCCAGGGUUUCGGGUGAGCUCAUUGUGAAACCUGGCCCCACCUUGUCAUGUGAAUUCCUGAGGUCAGAUGGCCCAGGAUGUGAGUGGGUGUUAAGGCGUCUGGGGACCUUAGAACUGAAGAAGCUCCUCGGAUGAGAGGUGAAACGUCUUCAAGCAACUUAAAGAAGUCCAGACACUUUUCUUUGCAAACUCCUUUGACCAUCUUGUCCUAAAAUGUUCCCUGAGUGAUAUUAUGAAGUGAAAAGCUUUACUCCUGGUGUGAGGCCUAAGCAAGAGCACAGUUAAGCUUUUCAGUCUUGAUGCUAUAAUGACUGCAGUAGUGAAACCUGGAUCCUUGUGUAGGCAGCACAAGUUGUCAGUUUGUUGCAGUUAUUUAAGUUCCAGUGUUGCAGUUGUUUAGGCUGUGUUUAACUUCCUUAUCACAAAGAGAUCAGAAAAAGGCAGACCUGCAUAGUGUUCUGUUCUGUUCUGAAACUAAACCUGAGGUUUCCAAAUCUAGCUUGUGCUUCCACAUGCAUGAUCUGGUGUUGGCAGCAUGUAACCAGUCACAGACAUGAACAGGUCUACUGGCAAGUUGUACUCCCACCUCAUGGAUUCUCUGCAGACAGUAAUAUUAUUUUAAUCAAAUUAAUGUAAUCAAAACAAGAAUAAUUUAAACACAUAAGCACAAAUAGUACAGUGUGUGUGUGUCAAUGUUUUAAUGUACUUCUUUAUUUAGAAGAGCUAUUCUGAUUCUAGAAAUACUGCUACAAUGUAUACCAUUAUAUAUUAACAUAUAUUGAGUUAGGUAAUAAAACUUUUGGUGAUUUGUAUCAAUAAAGGAUUUGGAACUGUGCAAACUGUGACAUUUAUGGGGAAAUAAAGCAUUUGUGGCUACUUGGUGAGAG